CAACUUUCAACAACGGAUCUCUUGGCUCUCGCGUCGAUGAAGAACGCAGCGAAAUGCGAUAAGUAAUGUGAAUUGCAGAAUUCAGUGAAUCAUCGAAUCUUUGAACGCACCUUGCGCCCCUUGGUAUUCCGAGGGGCAUGCCUGUUUGAGUGUCAUUA
Molecule: ribosomal RNA, 158 nt
Filed under: Pleurotus sp. 58 QL-2015
Lineage: Eukaryota; Fungi; Basidiomycota; Agaricomycetes; Agaricales; Pleurotaceae
Description: 5.8S ribosomal RNA
Rfam family: 5.8S ribosomal RNA
About the family: 5.8S ribosomal RNA (5.8S rRNA) is a component of the large subunit of the eukaryotic ribosome. It is transcribed by RNA polymerase I as part of the 45S precursor that also contains 18S and 28S rRNA.
Source: RNAcentral